RNAcentral lists this ribosomal RNA (356 nucleotides) under Escherichia coli. RNAcentral's name for it is "bacterial SSU rRNA". It matches the Rfam family "Bacterial small subunit ribosomal RNA", at positions 1 to 353 of the family's 1533-position model. The record is from RNAcentral. Lineage: Bacteria; Pseudomonadati; Pseudomonadota; Gammaproteobacteria; Enterobacterales; Enterobacteriaceae.
AAAUUGAAGAGUUUGAUCAUGGCUCAGAUUGAACGCUGGCGGCAGGCCUAACACAUGCAAGUCGAACGGUAACAGGAAGCAGCUUGCUGCUUUGCUGACGAGUGGCGGACGGGUGAGUAAUGUCUGGGAAACUGCCCGAUGGAGGGGGAUAACUACUGGAAACGGUAGCUAAUACCGCAUAACGUCGCAAGACCAAAGAGGGGGACCUUAGGGCCUCUUGCCAUCGGAUGUGCCCAGAUGGGAUUAGCUAGUAGGUGGGGUAAUGGCUCACCUAGGCGACGAUCCCUAGCUGGUCUGAGAGGAUGACCAGCCACACUGGAACUGAGACACGGUCCAGACUCCUACGGGAGGCAGCA